This 210-nucleotide long non-coding RNA is filed under the name Hordeum vulgare. Its description in RNAcentral is "long non-coding RNA (HVUL_LNC009554)". Lineage: Eukaryota; Viridiplantae; Streptophyta; Magnoliopsida; Poales; Poaceae. The record is from RNAcentral.
CUUGCUGCCGCCGCAGCAGCUGCUACAGUUGCUCGCUCACACUCCUCUUCCACGGCGCGCUCGGCCUCCUGCCGGCGCCGUAUGCUCGAGGUAGCCGUGUGUUGAGAGCGACCUGCAGACAUGGCUCGCUGCAGGGGGCUGUUGCGUGAAGAGGAAGCUGUUGCUGACGAGCUGCUGCUCGACAGUCCGGAGGGAGGGAGGUAACUAGGG